RNAcentral lists this ribosomal RNA (521 nucleotides) under Duwalia perula. RNAcentral describes it as "partial 16S large subunit ribosomal RNA". The stretch from base 387 to 521 matches the Rfam family "Archaeal large subunit ribosomal RNA", at positions 2542 to 2676 of the family's 2987-position model. Lineage: Eukaryota; Metazoa; Arthropoda; Insecta; Hymenoptera; Ichneumonidae. The record is from RNAcentral.
AACAUCUCCUUUUGAAAAUAAUUUAAGGUUUAAUCUGCUCAAUGAAGUUUAAAUAGCUGCAGUAAUUUAACUGUACAAAGGUAGCAUAAUCAAUAGUUUUUUAAUUAAAAGCUGGAAUGAAUGAUUGGAUGAAAUAAUAAUUGUCUCAAAUUUAAUGAAGUUAGAAUUUUUUUUUUAGUUAAAAAGCUAAAAUGAUUUUAAAAGACGAGAAGACCCUAUAGAUUUUUAUAAUUUGAGAAAUAUUAAAUUAAUAUAAUUUAUUUUAAUUUUUUAAAGAAUUAUUAGAUUGGGGUAAUUUUUAAAUUUAAUAAAUUUUAAAAUUUAUUUAACUAAAGUGAUAGAGUAUUAGAUCCUAAAUUUGGAUUAUUAGAAUAAAAUACCUUAGGGAUAACAGCGUAAUAUUUUUAGAAAGAUCAUAUUAAUAAAAAAGAUUGCGACCUCGAUGUUGAAUUAAAAUAAAAUUAUAAUGAAGGCGUUAUAAAUUUUUAGUCUGUUCGACUAUUAAAAUUUUACGUGAUCUG